RNAcentral lists this ribosomal RNA (543 nucleotides) under uncultured fungus. RNAcentral describes it as "eukaryotic LSU rRNA". The stretch from base 196 to 349 matches the Rfam family "5.8S ribosomal RNA". The record is from RNAcentral. Lineage: Eukaryota; Fungi.
CGUACAGGUCUCCGUAGGUGAACCUGCGGAGGGAUCAUUACAAGAACGCCCGGGCUACGGCCUGGUUAUUCAUAACCCUUUGUUGUCCGACUCUGUUGCCUCCGGGGCGACCCUGCCUUCGGGCGGGGGCUCCGGGUGGACACUUCAAACUCUUGCGUAACUUUGCAGUCUGAGUAAACUUAAUUAAUAAAUUAAAGCUUUUAACAACGGAUCUCUUGGUUCUGGCAUCGAUGAAGAACGCAGCGAAAUGCGAUAAGUAAUGUGAAUUGCAGAAUUCAGUGAAUCAUCGAAUCUUUGAACGCACAUUGCGCCCCCUGGUAUUCCGGGGGGCAUGCCUGUUCGAGCGUCAUUUCACCACUCAAGCCUCGCUUGGUAUUGGGCAACGCGGUCCGCCGCGUGCCUCAAAUCGUCCGGCUGGGUCUUCUGUCCCCUAAGCGUUGUGGAAACUAUUCGCUAAAGGGUGUUCGGGAGGCUACGCCGUAAAACAACCCCAUUUCUAAGGUUGACCUCGGAUCAGGUAGGGAUACCCGCUGAACUUAAGCA